This is a long non-coding RNA of Mus musculus (house mouse), 370 nucleotides long. RefSeq annotates it as predicted gene, 40542. The transcript has 2 exons. Lineage: Eukaryota; Metazoa; Chordata; Mammalia; Rodentia; Muridae. The record is from RefSeq and is a predicted model, not a curated record.
CUCACUGUUGAAGGGCACCUCUGGUCAUUAUAUCAGUCCUGACACUCACCUCGGAAGGAGUUGAGCCUUGCAGUCAGCCCAGGAAUGGAAUGGGCACGGAGUCUUGGUAUCAUACCCUGUGGCAUGUCCAGCUUUGCCGCUAGCUUACUCCUGCAAGGAGAAGACAUUGAUAUGCUAAGAUUAUCAUCCCAGUGAUGAGGAGAAAUCUUCACUCAGAGCUAAGUCAGGGUAUCCUGGCUUACACUGAGGACUAAACUCACCUUCUGAACAAGUCAUCCAAGUCCUGCAAACAAAACAAGAGAAGCUUAGUUACCUAAAGAAACAGAACACAAUGUGGUUUCAUAUAUAUGAGAUUUAUUUAUUCAUUUUA